AGAGUUUGAUCCUGGCUCAGGAUGAACGCUAGCUACAGGCUUAACACAUGACAAGUCGAGGGGAAACGAUAUUGGAAGCUUGCUUUUGAUGGGCGUCGACCGGCGUACGGGUGAGUAACGCGUAUCCAACCUGCCCACCACUCGGGGAUAACCUUGCGAAAGUAAGACUAAUACCCAAUGAUAUCUCUAGAAGACAUCUGAAAGAGAUUAAAGAUUUAUCGGUGAUGGAUGGGGAUGCGUCUGAUUAGCUUGUUGGCGGGGUAACGGCCCACCAAGGCAACGAUCAGUAGGGGUUCUGAGAGGAAGGUCCCCCACAUUGGAACUGAGACACGGUCCAAACUCCUACGGGAGGCAGCA
RNAcentral lists this ribosomal RNA (357 nucleotides) under uncultured bacterium. RNAcentral's name for it is "bacterial SSU rRNA". It matches the Rfam family "Bacterial small subunit ribosomal RNA", at positions 8 to 353 of the family's 1533-position model. The record is from RNAcentral.